UAGGGAAUCUUCGGCAAUGGACGAAAGUCUGACCGAGCAACGCCGCGUGAGUGAAGAAGGUUUUCGGAUCGUAAAACUCUGUUGUUAGAGAAGAACAAGGACGUUAGUAACUGAACGUCCCCUGACGGUAUCUAACCAGAAAGCCACGGCUAACUACGUGCCAGCAGCCGCGGUAAUACGUAGGUGGCAAGCGUUGUCCGGAUUUAUUGGGCGUAAAGCGAGCGCAGGCGGUUUCUUAAGUCUGAUGUGAAAGCCCCCGGCUCAACCGGGGAGGGUCAUUGAAAACUGGGAGACUUGAGUGCAGAAGAGGAGAGUGGAAUUCCAUGUGUAGCGGUGAAAUGCGUAGAUAUAUGGAGGAACGCCAGUGGCGAAGGCGGCUCUCUGGUCUGUAACUGACGCUGAGGCUCGAAAGCGUGGGGAGCAAACAGG
This 429-nucleotide ribosomal RNA is filed under the name Gemmatimonadota bacterium. RNAcentral's name for it is "Gemmatimonadetes bacterium partial 16S ribosomal RNA". It matches the Rfam family "Bacterial small subunit ribosomal RNA", at positions 355 to 776 of the family's 1533-position model. The record is from RNAcentral. Lineage: Bacteria; Pseudomonadati; Gemmatimonadota.